CUCCAUUCACCACAGAUGAUAAUGGGUCAGACUUUAGAUUAUUUUCCACUGUCCUGUGGACGAGCUUGUCGCAGAGGCACACCUGACAGAUGAGAGAAAUCUGCCUGCCUGGAACUCGAUCUUCCACUGCAAAAGAGCGGGCACUGAUAGCCCCUCAGCCUGGCUUCCUAAGUUCACAGGUUCAACCAAGACCCUUUGGAAAUGUACCAGAAGGCUUGGCAUCUUUGCUGCUCCAUGAAGAAUUUAGGUUCAGUCAUUGCUCAAGCC
RNAcentral lists this long non-coding RNA (267 nucleotides) under Chinchilla lanigera (long-tailed chinchilla). RNAcentral describes it as "lncRNA (ENSCLAG00000027539.1)". The record is from RNAcentral. Lineage: Eukaryota; Metazoa; Chordata; Mammalia; Rodentia; Chinchillidae.